This 328-nucleotide long non-coding RNA is filed under the name Medicago truncatula (barrel medic). Its description in RNAcentral is "long non-coding RNA (MTRU_LNC007803)". Lineage: Eukaryota; Viridiplantae; Streptophyta; Magnoliopsida; Fabales; Fabaceae. The record is from RNAcentral.
AGGUUGUGAUCCUUCUGUCAUCCGCGAACAACAACUUUCAAAAACUCAUCAUACUUUUCCAUCUUCUCUUGAAACACAGCUGAUGCUUCCUCCAUGCUUAGUAUUUUUUGACCAGCAUCACCACCGUAAACCUUCAUCGGUCACAAAGAAAGUUAAUUAAUAAGAAAAUAAAUUCAAAACAGAAAAUAAAUUUAAAUGAAAACAAAAAUAAUUAAUGAUCAGCAUACCAUUGGAUUUGUCGCAAAGUUGAUUUGCGUCGGCAGAGGUAAAGUGAGCCUGUGCUAGGGUUUUGGAUGUGUUGAUGUUGAGUUUGUUGUGCCCUAAUUAC